GAUCCAACUCUUUAACUGCUGAGCAGUCCCCAAAACACAAAAUGAAAUUGAAGGUAAAAGCUUGAAUAUUAGAUUGUGAAAUAGGAGGGAGAUCCUCGAGUGUUAAAUAAAAGAAGAGAAGGAUUACACAAAAUGAGCUACCAUUUUUUGCAUGCAAUGGCGCCGAAGAUCCUUAGUCUGUAACAGCUUGUAAUGAGCCUUUCUGAUUUUUCAAGAUUUGGAAAUAUUUGUCGACAGGAUUUGGAUUUCGAUGGUUACUGCCAGGAAGGGACCUCAGUUUGGCAAGCGACAAAA
RNAcentral lists this long non-coding RNA (294 nucleotides) under Gossypium barbadense (sea-island cotton). RNAcentral describes it as "long non-coding RNA (GBAR_LNC002343)". The record is from RNAcentral. Lineage: Eukaryota; Viridiplantae; Streptophyta; Magnoliopsida; Malvales; Malvaceae.